RNAcentral lists this long non-coding RNA (253 nucleotides) under Homo sapiens (human). RNAcentral's name for it is "HSALNT0375550". The record is from RNAcentral. Lineage: Eukaryota; Metazoa; Chordata; Mammalia; Primates; Hominidae.
CUGACGUGGCUCAAUUAUCUCAGAAGCCUCCUGGACCAUCACAGAUGCUUUCGGUAACUCUUACAGUGGAGGAAGACAGGAAAUGUCAGACCUCUGAGCCCAAGCCUGCAAGUAUACAUCCAGAUGGCCUGAAGCAACUGAAGAACCACAAAAGAAGUGAAAAUAGCCAGUUCCUGCCUUAACUGAUGACAUUCCACCAUUGUGAUUUGUUCCUGCCCCACCUUAACUGAUCAAUUAACCUUGUGACAUUCCU